RNAcentral lists this ribosomal RNA (433 nucleotides) under uncultured bacterium. Its description in RNAcentral is "partial 16S ribosomal RNA". It matches the Rfam family "Bacterial small subunit ribosomal RNA", at positions 29 to 507 of the family's 1533-position model. The record is from RNAcentral.
AACGAACGCUGGCGGCAUGCCUAACACAUGCAAGUCGAACGAGACCUUCGGGUCUAGUGGCGCACGGGUGCGUAACGCGUGGGAACCUGCCUUUAGGUUCGGAAUAACUCAGUGAAAUUUGAGCUAAUACCGGAUGAUGUCUUCGGACCAAAGAUUUAUCGCCUUUGGAUGGGCCCGCGUUGGAUUAGCUAGUUGGUGGGGUAAAGGCCUACCAAGGCGACGAUCCAUAGCUGGUCUGAGAGGAUGAUCAGCCACACUGGGACUGAGACACGGCCCAGACUCCUACGGGAGGCAGCAGUGGGGAAUAUUGGACAAUGGGCGAAAGCCUGAUCCAGCAAUGCCGCGUGAGUGAUGAAGGCCUUAGGGUUGUGAAGCUCUUUUACCCGAGAUGAUAAUGACGGUAUCGGGAGAAUAAGCACCGGCUAACUCCGUG